AACGUCUGUCGCGAUGGCUCCUUAGGGAGCUUUCAUCUCCGUUUUUUUCUUUUCUUUUUCUUUACUAAGGUUUUAUUCUUAUAUUUGCCUCUCCCUACGCGAGGGAGACGAACUCUGAAUUAUUUCUUUGGUAACUCCACGUUCGUUGAACCUUUGAAACUUCGCGCGAGUCUGCUCGCCCCGGAAGACACGAGAGAACACGCCCAGCUCUAAAAGCACGACGCACGCAGCUCUUAGCAGGCACAAAGAUACCCACAUCAGGAAAAGGCAGUUUGAGGAUGAGAGAGAGCUCCACAUCUCCCUGAGAGGAUUCAGACAUAGAGGGGACGACACACAUCAAAGAAUCUGGAUGGGGCUGGCUAUGCUUUGACUAAGCCACACCCCUUCUCAACUUCCACCUCGAGGAGGUCCCCAAAGCCAACCCAAUGGCCAAACAACACGAGAACAAAUGGGCUAUGGCCGGGAAGAGGUCAGGGAGCAAGGGGGCCACGGGGAUCCGGGGCGUGGGACUCGGGCCCCGGCCUGAGUCUUAGGUAUCCGUAGCGCCCUCCUUCUUCCUCCUCUUCGCUGAAUACAGCUCACGGUAAGUACUGGUUCACACAGUUCGUUCUCGAGGUGCUCACUCUCUUUCUCUUCCUCCACAGGCAACGGCUGGGACACAAAAGCACAGUUAAUUCGGCUUGGUUUUGCUCUCACCUCUUCGCUGAUUGCAGCUCACAGUAAGUACUGGUUCACACAGUUCGUUCCUUGGGUGCUCACUCUCUUUCUCUUCCUCCACAGGCAACGGCUGGGACACAAAAGCACAGUUAAUUCGGCUUGGUUUUGCUCUCACCUCUUCGCUGAUUGCAGCUCACAGUAAGUACUGGUUCACACAGUUCGUUCCUUGGGUGCUCACUCGCUUUCUCUUUCUCCACAGGCAGCGGCGUAAGUACAGGUUUCCUCGGUCUCUCCUCGUGUUACCCACUCUCUCUCCUUUUCUCUCCACAGGUAUCAACUUGGACACAAAGCACAGUUACUCUGCUUUGGAUGGCUUUCACCUCUGGGCUGGACACAGCGUACCGUGCUAUCUCCGGAGAUCUGAAGCACGCUCACAACAUAUACUGUACUGAACUAGGCUAGGACCAGCAGUCUCCUUGUCCUCCCGCGACGAAGUGCGUGAAGGCGGGGGUUUAUCUGACAGGACACACGGCAAUACACAGCAGCCCACAGCAAUAUACAGCACCACGUCAAAAUUAUAGGUUUUCACAGCAUGAAGACUCACCCACCACACUCAGUGUACGAAAAGGACACCCGUCUUCCUUCACUUCGCUUGGUUCGGAUCUGGCGAUGGAAUAUGCGGCCUAGCUAGUGAUGUCGUCGUUGUGACUACUUCAAUAAGUAUUCCUUCGGCUCUCCCACCACGCUAUAUUAGGGGUAGGGCCGCCCUCCUCCUCCUGGAGAGAUCUACACAACGCCAGGUCAAUAUACAGGGCACUUUCGACUGGCUCUUAGUACUCACAUCAAUGCCGCUUCCAAUCCCCUUUUUCACGUCGUCUCAGUUCGCCGUAUAAUCCGUUCACUUCUCAACCUUUAAGGUUCGCGAUGUCUUCACAAUCAUACAAUUCCAGCCUGAGGGAGAGAGAGAGUUAGACAGCCGCCAGCAGCGCACCAAGACGGGCACAACACAGUGCUUCACACACACCAGAAAGAACGCUCAGACUGUGAAAUAACUUGGCCUUAAGUACUGCCUUGUCCAGCGUAUCCUCCAAUCACCAACCGCUGUCCCUAACUAGGCACAGGUGCAUCGAAUUCCCUGAUUUUCCUUCUUACGGCGCUACCGGAAGUUCCGGUGUUCUGUUUUUCCGGUCCGGGCGGAAACACUUCCGGGCGGAACCAAACUUCCCGAAUUUUGGUUCCGCCCCUAAAGAUCGUCACCUUGUGACAUUUACACUGAAUGACCUCCUAUGGUUUAUGAAAUUCAAUGAAAGUUUCCAAAGUAAUCUUUUGUGUGUGGUGAAUGGCUAUAAAUGAUGAUCCAGGAAAUUUAGCUAUUCGCUUCGGUGCUGUGGCUAACAGACCUCUGAGGGCUAAUAUAGCCUCUACUUUUCCUUUCAACUUAUUAUUUGACUGAAAAAAGAGUGCAGCUAUUAAAGAUUGGCUCAAGAUGCAAAAAAGGCUUCUUUGAGAAUGUAGAAUAAAUUUAAACGUCCUGGUCCUUUAAACCUCAAAUAAUAUAUGCCAUAUUUUAAAGAAAGGCCUAUUCAUGAAAUAUCCUGCCAGUUACUCUCUCACAUUCUCUGGACUAAAAAUGAGAAGUUGUUAACAAGGGGUCUCAAACUUCAGUUUCCUGGGGUUCAGUAGACAGGUGUUGUUCACCACCAGGAGGCAAGGUAUAAGUUAAUAAACAAAACAAACAAAAACAAAGUGUUUUUACAACCAUUGUGACACUGCCAUACUUUGAAGGUUGAGGCUAGAAGGGAUACAGCUAAGGCCAGAAGUGACUUUUUUUUUUUUUCCCGU
Molecule: long non-coding RNA, 2499 nt
Organism: Cyprinus carpio carpio
Lineage: Eukaryota; Metazoa; Chordata; Actinopteri; Cypriniformes; Cyprinidae
Source: Ensembl